UCCGAAAUUUUAUUCGAAUGUGAAUUUUAAUGGACCAAAUUUAUCGAUGGAUAUAAUUUCGGAUAAGAAUAUAAAAAACAAAAAUCCGACCGAUAUGGAUUUGAAUUCGGAUAUAAAUUAUGUCUAUAUCCGACCCAAACACGAACCCGAAUUAAUUUUACAUUAUAUAUAUAUAGUUGGGCUGGAGUACUAUUGAUAGUAUUUGACUCAUUUUGCUAUCAAGUUUUUAACCCUUAGAUGAGAAAUUGUAGGGUUAGGAUGAUAUUAGUCACUUAGGGUUGAACAGUCCCCCUAGGAUGAGUGGUCCACAUUGGGUAAUAAUAUUUAAUUCAAUGAUUAGAAAUGAUCAAAAUAAUUGAUCCAAAAGCUAAAAACUUGAUACCAAAAGAAGGCAAAUAUUAUUAAUAAUAUUAUAGUCCAACUCAUAUAUAUUAGAAUUUGUAUUUUGAAAAUUUAGAUUUAAUAUAAAUGUUUUGAAAUACGGUAAAAAAAAUAAUUUGGGUUUGAGUUUUUGGGUCCGGGUCCAGGUCCGGGUCCAGGUUCGGGUUCAGGUUUGAAUUUUGAAUUUUUGAUCGGGUUAAUUCGGAUUUGAACAUGAACUUUUAAAAUCCGUUAGAUUCGGAUUCAAAUUUGGAUUUUUAAUUCGGUAGUUAGAAUCAGCUUCAAGCUUUUGAAAACUCGCCCCGAAUCCAACCCGUUAACAUCCCUAAGAAAAACUACCCAAAAGGAAUCAGAACAAUUUCAUAUAUAGCCUUCUUAAUUAGCUAUCCAAUUUAGAGCAAUGCUAUUGGUACAUUCCAAAAUAGAGUGUAUAUUUUAUACCCACUCCGGUUAAUGUUACUAGAUCUACUUGUCACAUCAACGUUUUUUUAGUUUUACUAAAAAUUACUUGACAUUUUUACUGAUCGAUUCAUUAUGNAAUAUAUAUAUAUAUAUAUAUAUAUAUAUAUAUAUAUAUAUAUAUAUAUAUAUAUAUAUAUAUAUAUAUAUAUUAUUUGUGGUCGAAAAGUAUAAGAACAGAAAGAAAAUAAUAAUAAAGAAAAUAGUACCCUAUAGGUAACACUCGUAUACUCGUCCGCGCAUCCGCGGGCGGGUAUUGAUAAAGAUGAUGGCUGCCCAAAAAUAUGUGGGUAAAUUCUAUCUAUGCCCGUAUAAUUCGUGAGUACAAUGACCUGCCCGUGAAUUGCCUAAUCCAUUCGUUUACUGGGUCUAAUAAUAGUAUCCUAGCACAAAAUUCAUGAUUAUUGCUGUUGUUGCUUGUUACCACUGCAUAUUAGGCAAAAUAUCAAAUAGGAUCUAAGUUAGUAGAGAAGACAUGGUCAAGUGGCAAUGCAAGGAGUUGGUCCCCAAACUAAAUUAAAUGAAAUUAAAAUGACAGUGCCCUAGAGAGCAAGGAACUCAUACAAUGCUUGGGCCCUCUACAAUAAAAAGAGCAAUAACAACUAAACAAGGAGUGGGGUCAAGCAUGGGACAUUCACUUGUAUAGAAGCUAAAACCAUGGGAACUUAUCCAAAGGGAGCUAGGGAAUGUCAAAACCAUUGGAACUUAUCCAAUUAGGGAAACUAGGAAUGUCAUAAAUUACAUAUAUCCGAAAUUUUAUUGGAAUGUGAAUUUUAAUGGACCAAAUUUAUCGAUGGAUAUAAUUUUGGAUAAGAAUAAAAAAAACAAAAAUCCGACCGAUAUGGAUUUGAAUUCAGAUAUAAAUUAUGUCUAUAUCCGACCCAAACACGAACCCGAAUUAAUUUUACAUUAUAUAUAUAUAGUUGGGCUGGAGUACUAUUGAUAGUAUUUGACUCAUUUUGCUAUCAAGUUUUUAACCUUUAGAUGAGAAAUUGUAGGGUUAGGAUGAUAUUAGUCACUUAGGGUUGAACAGUCCCCCUAGGAUUGAGUGGUCCACAUUGGGUUAUAAUAUUUAAUCCAAUGAUUAGAAAUGAUCAAAAUAAUUGAUCCAAAAGCUAAAAACUUGAUACCAAAAGAAGGCAAAUAUUAUUAAUAAUAUUAUAGUCCAACUCAUAUAUAUUAGAAUUUGUAUUUUGAAAAUUUAGAUUUAAUAUAAAUGUUUUGAAAUACGGUAAAAAAAAUAAUUUGGGUUUGAGUUUUUGGGUCCGGGUCCAGGUUCGGGGUCAGGUUUGAAUUUUGAAUUUUUGAUCGGGUUAAUUCGGAUUUGAACAUGAACUUUUAAAAUCCGUUAGAUUCGGAUUCAAAUUUGGAUUUUUAAUUCAGUAGUUAGAAUCAGCUUCAAGCUUUUGAAAACUCGCCCCGAAUCCAACCCGUCAACAUCCCUAAGAAAAACUACCCAAAAGGAAUCAGAACAAUUUCAUAUAUAGCCUUCUUAAUUAGCUAUCCAAUUUAGAGCAAUGCUAUUGUUACAU
This 2372-nucleotide long non-coding RNA is filed under the name Ananas comosus (pineapple). Its description in RNAcentral is "long non-coding RNA (ACOM_LNC032983)". Lineage: Eukaryota; Viridiplantae; Streptophyta; Magnoliopsida; Poales; Bromeliaceae. The record is from RNAcentral.